This 614-nucleotide ribosomal RNA is filed under the name Vibrio diazotrophicus. RNAcentral describes it as "bacterial SSU rRNA". It matches the Rfam family "Bacterial small subunit ribosomal RNA", at positions 69 to 676 of the family's 1533-position model. The record is from RNAcentral. Lineage: Bacteria; Pseudomonadati; Pseudomonadota; Gammaproteobacteria; Vibrionales; Vibrionaceae.
CUUGUUCCUUGGGUGGCGAGCGGCGGUACGUGGUGAGUAAUGCCUGGGAAAUUGCCCUGAUGUGGGGGAUAACCAUUGGAAACGAUGGCUAAUACCGCAUGAUAGCUUCGGCUCAAAGAGGGGGACCUUCGGGCCUCUCGCGUCAGGAUAUGCCCAGGUGGGAUUAGCUAGUUGGUGAGGUAAUGGCUCACCAAGGCGACGAUCCCUAGCUGGUCUGAGAGGAUGAUCAGCCACACUGGAACUGAGACACGGUCCAGACUCCUACGGGAGGCAGCAGUGGGGAAUAUUGCACAAUGGGCGCAAGCCUGAUGCAGCCAUGCCGCGUGUGUGAAGAAGGCCUUCGGGUUGUAAAGCACUUUCAGUAGGGAGGAAGGUGGUGUUGUUAAUAGCAGCAUCAUUUGACGUUACCUACAGAAGAAGCACCGGCUAACUCCGUGCCAGCAGCCGCGGUAAUACGGAGGGUGCGAGCGUUAAUCGGAAUUACUGGGGCGUAAAGCGCAUGCAGGUGGUUUGUUAAGUCAGGAUGUGAAAGCCCGGGGGCUCAACCUCGGAAUAGCAUUUGAAACUGGCAAGCUAGAGUAACUUGUAGAGGGGGGGGUAGAAAUUUCAGGUUG